This 1106-nucleotide long non-coding RNA is filed under the name Ornithorhynchus anatinus (platypus). Its description in RNAcentral is "lncRNA (ENSOANG00000045854.1)". The record is from RNAcentral. Lineage: Eukaryota; Metazoa; Chordata; Mammalia; Monotremata; Ornithorhynchidae.
GCUUUCCCCUAUACAACCUGUUUGGGGCAGAAACGACCUUCAGUGAAGCCACCGAUGACUUUUCCCAUCAAUCCACUCUACUCCAUCCCUCCAAACGGAGCAGUUUCUUCAUUCAGUGUCCCCAAAACAAGCCUAACUAUGGCAACACUGCCAGACGCAUCAUCUUGGAACACCAAGGACGUCGCUACACAGGGACAGUGUCUGCAUCUCCAGAUUGCGACCAAUCCCUUGAGCUGCUGGAAACUGAAACAAAGAAGGCAGGGAGUGAGUGAUGCGUGAGCCUGCGGCGAUUAAAGCGCUGAAAUAAGCAGUACGGGGCGGGGAGAAGAAAAAUAAAUAUUAAAAGAGUGAGCCCAGUAAAAGAGAGGGGAAUCAACAGAUGGGAAGGAGGAAGUUCAACCUGUGUUUCUUUCCUUCUCUUGAGCUGUCCAUUUUACUCAGUGCAAAUUGCUCGGGUGUCGUUGCCUUUUAUAGGCACCUGUAAAUAAAUGACUUCAAAACUGUCCCUCUGAUCCUAAAUAUGGGCACGGCAUUGGCUGAACACCUAACAGGUCCUUGGCCUAGCGGAAAGAGCCCGAGCCUGGGAGUCAGAAGACCUGGGUUCUAGUUCCGCCUCCACCCCUUGCCCCCUGGGCAACCUUGGACAAAUCGUUUACCUUCUCUAUGCGUCAGUUUCCGCUUCUGUGAAAUGGAGAGUCAAUACCUGUUCACCACUUUCCUCAGACUGCGAGCCCCAGCUGGGACAGGGACCGCAUUCGACCUGAUUUUAUCUUCUAUCUCUCUCGGGGAUUAGCACAGUGCUAGGCUCAUGAUAAGCGCUUAACAAAAACCCCGAUGAUGAUUAUCAUUCAUUGCUAUUGCUGUGACAGAAGCACACGAUACCCUUUGAGAGAACGGGCCUGGCACAUCAUCUCCCCCGCUAACCCACUGCCGGGAAAGCCAGUCUCGGCACAACGGGCUCUGCUAGGACGUGGACACACUUUAAAGGCCGAAGAGACUUGAACGCUUAAAUGGCAGUGGCAGAACUGAACUUUUAUAUCGAUUAGUCGAAAAACCUAGGCAAUCAUUCCUUACAAGUUGCCCUAAGCACACAAAACGGGCAGCAG